UACGGAGGGUGCAAGCGUUAAUCGGAAUUACUGGGCGUAAAGCGUGCGUAGGUGGUUAAUUAAGUUAUCUGUGAAAUCCCUGGGCUUAACCUGGGCAGGUCAGAUAAUACUGGUUGACUCGAGUAUGGGAGAGGGUAGUGGAAUUUCCGGUGUAGCGGUGAAAUGCGUAGAGAUCGGAAGGAACACCAGUGGCGAAGGCGGCUACCUGGCCUAAUACUGACACUGAGGCACGAAAGCGUGGGGAGCAAACAGG
RNAcentral lists this ribosomal RNA (253 nucleotides) under uncultured Legionella sp. RNAcentral's name for it is "partial 16S ribosomal RNA". It matches the Rfam family "Bacterial small subunit ribosomal RNA", at positions 524 to 776 of the family's 1533-position model. The record is from RNAcentral. Lineage: Bacteria; Pseudomonadati; Pseudomonadota; Gammaproteobacteria; Legionellales; Legionellaceae.